AUUGAACGCUGGCGGCAUGCUUUACACAUGCAAGUCGAACGGUAACAGGCCGCAAGGUGCUGCCGAGCGGCGAACGGGUGCGUAAUGCAUCGGAACGUGCCCAGUCGUGGGGGAUAACUACUCGAAAGAGUAGCUAAUACCGCAUACGAUCUAUGGAUGAAAGCGGGGGACCGUAAGGCCUCGCGCGAUUGGAGCGGCCGAUGUCAGAUUAGGUAGUUGGUGGGGUAAAGGCUCACCAAGCCAACGAUCUGUAGCUGGUCUGAGAGGACGACCAGCCACACUGGGACUGAGACACGGCCCAGACUCCUACGGGAGGCAGCAGUGGGGAAUUUUGGACAAUGGGCGCAAGCCUGAUCCAGCAAUGCCGCGUGCAGGAAGAAGGCCUUCGGGUUGUAAACUGCUUUUGUACGGAACGAAACGGCUCUGGUUAAUACCCGGGGCUAAUGACGGUACCGUAAGAAUAAGCACCGGCUAACUACGUG
Molecule: ribosomal RNA, 482 nt
Filed under: uncultured bacterium
Lineage: Bacteria
Description: partial 16S ribosomal RNA
Rfam family: Bacterial small subunit ribosomal RNA
Source: RNAcentral